This 2531-nucleotide ribosomal RNA is filed under the name Escherichia coli. RNAcentral describes it as "partial 23S ribosomal RNA". It matches the Rfam family "Bacterial large subunit ribosomal RNA", at positions 296 to 2819 of the family's 2925-position model. The record is from RNAcentral. Lineage: Bacteria; Pseudomonadati; Pseudomonadota; Gammaproteobacteria; Enterobacterales; Enterobacteriaceae.
AGCCCAGAGCCUGAAUCAGUGUGUGUGUUAGUGGAAGCGUCUGGAAAGGCGCGCGAUACAGGGUGACAGCCCCGUACACAAAAAUGCACAUGCUGUGAGCUCGAUGAGUAGGGCGGGACACGUGGUAUCCUGUCUGAAUAUGGGGGGACCAUCCUCCAAGGCUAAAUACUCCUGACUGACCGAUAGUGAACCAGUACCGUGAGGGAAAGGCGAAAAGAACCCCGGCGAGGGGAGUGAAAAAGAACCUGAAACCGUGUACGUACAAGCAGUGGGAGCACAGAGCAAUCUGUGUGACUGCGUACCUUUUGUAUAAUGGGUCAGCGACUUAUAUUCUGUAGCAAGGUUAACCGAAUAGGGGAGCCGAAGGGAAACCGAGUCUUAACUGGGCGUUAAGUUGCAGGGUAUAGACCCGAAACCCGGUGAUCUAGCCAUGGGCAGGUUGAAGGUUGGGUAACACUAACUGGAGGACCGAACCGACUAAUGUUGAAAAAUUAGCGGAUGACUUGUGGCUGGGGGUGAAAGGCCAAUCAAACCGGGAGAUAGCUGGUUCUCCCCGAAAGCUAUUUAGGUAGCGCCUCGUGAAUUCAUCUCCGGGGGUAGAGCACUGUUUCGGCAAGGGGGUCAUCCCGACUUACCAACCCGAUGCAAACUGCGAAUACCGGAGAAUGUUAUCACGGGAGACACACGGCGGGUGCUAACGUCCGUCGUGAAGAGGGAAACAACCCAGACCGCCAGCUAAGGUCCCAAAGUCAUGGUUAAGUGGGAAACGAUGUGGGAAGGCCCAGACAGCCAGGAUGUUGGCUUAGAAGCAGCCAUCAUUUAAAGAAAGCGUAAUAGCUCACUGGUCGAGUCGGCCUGCGCGGAAGAUGUAACGGGGCUAAACCAUGCACCGAAGCUGCGGCAGCGACGCUUAUGCGUUGUUGGGUAGGGGAGCGUUCUGUAAGCCUGUGAAGGUGUACUGUGAGGUAUGCUGGAGGUAUCAGAAGUGCGAAUGCUGACAUAAGUAACGAUAAAGCGGGUGAAAAGCCCGCUCGCCGGAAGACCAAGGGUUCCUGUCCAACGUUAAUCGGGGCAGGGUGAGUCGACCCCUAAGGCGAGGCCGAAAGGCGUAGUCGAUGGGAAACAGGUUAAUAUUCCUGUACUUGGUGUUACUGCGAAGGGGGGACGGAGAAGGCUAUGUUGGCCGGGCGACGGUUGUCCCGGUUUAAGCGUGUAGGCUGGUUUUCCAGGCAAAUCCGGAAAAUCAAGGCUGAGGCGUGAUGACGAGGCACUACGGUGCUGAAGCAACAAAUGCCCUGCUUCCAGGAAAAGCCUCUAAGCAUCAGGUAACAUCAAAUCGUACCCCAAACCGACACAGGUGGUCAGGUAGAGAAUACCAAGGCGCUUGAGAGAACUCGGGUGAAGGAACUAGGCAAAAUGGUGCCGUAACUUCGGGAGAAGGCACGCUGAUAUGUAGGUGAAGUCCCUCGCGGAUGGAGCUGAAAUCAGUCGAAGAUACCAGCUGGCUGCAACUGUUUAUUAAAAACACAGCACUGUGCAAACACGAAAGUGGACGUAUACGGUGUGACGCCUGCCCGGUGCCGGAAGGUUAAUUGAUGGGGUUAGCGCAAGCGAAGCUCUUGAUCGAAGCCCCGGUAAACGGCGGCCGUAACUAUAACGGUCCUAAGGUAGCGAAAUUCCUUGUCGGGUAAGUUCCGACCUGCACGAAUGGCGUAAUGAUGGCCAGGCUGUCUCCACCCGAGACUCAGUGAAAUUGAACUCGCUGUGAAGAUGCAGUGUACCCGCGGCAAGACGGAAAGACCCCGUGAACCUUUACUAUAGCUUGACACUGAACAUUGAGCCUUGAUGUGUAGGAUAGGUGGGAGGCUUUGAAGUGUGGACGCCAGUCUGCAUGGAGCCGACCUUGAAAUACCACCCUUUAAUGUUUGAUGUUCUAACGUUGACCCGUAAUCCGGGUUGCGGACAGUGUCUGGUGGGUAGUUUGACUGGGGCGGUCUCCUCCUAAAGAGUAACGGAGGAGCACGAAGGUUGGCUAAUCCUGGUCGGACAUCAGGAGGUUAGUGCAAUGGCAUAAGCCAGCUUGACUGCGAGCGUGACGGCGCGAGCAGGUGCGAAAGCAGGUCAUAGUGAUCCGGUGGUUCUGAAUGGAAGGGCCAUCGCUCAACGGAUAAAAGGUACUCCGGGGAUAACAGGCUGAUACCGCCCAAGAGUUCAUAUCGACGGCGGUGUUUGGCACCUCGAUGUCGGCUCAUCACAUCCUGGGGCUGAAGUAGGUCCCAAGGGUAUGGCUGUUCGCCAUUUAAAGUGGUACGCGAGCUGGGUUUAGAACGUCGUGAGACAGUUCGGUCCCUAUCUGCCGUGGGCGCUGGAGAACUGAGGGGGGCUGCUCCUAGUACGAGAGGACCGGAGUGGACGCAUCACUGGUGUUCGGGUUGUCAUGCCAAUGGCACUGCCCGGUAGCUAAAUGCGGAAGAGAUAAGUGCUGAAAGCAUCUAAGCACGAAACUUGCCCCGAGAUGAGUUCUCCCUGAC